This 440-nucleotide ribosomal RNA is filed under the name uncultured bacterium. RNAcentral describes it as "bacterial SSU rRNA". It matches the Rfam family "Bacterial small subunit ribosomal RNA", at positions 338 to 795 of the family's 1533-position model. The record is from RNAcentral.
CCUACGGGAGGCAGCAGUGGGGAAUCUUGGACAAUGGGCGCAAGCCUGAUCCAGCCAUGCCGCGUGAGUGAUGAAGGCCUUAGGGUCGUAAAGCUCUUUCGCCAGGGAUGAUAAUGACAGUACCUGGUAAAGAAACCCCGGCUAACUCCGUGCCAGCAGCCGCGGUAAUACGGAGGGGGUUAGCGUUGUUCGGAAUUACUGGGCGUAAAGCGUACGUAGGCGGGUUGUUAAGUUAGAGGUGAAAUCCCAGGGCUCAACCCUGGAACUGCCUUUAAUACUGGCAACCUAGAGUUCGAGAGAGGUGAGUGGAAUUCCGAGUGUAGAGGUGAAAUUCGUAGAUAUUCGGAGGAACACCAGUGGCGAAGGCGGCUCACUGGCUCGAUACUGACGCUGAGGUACGAAAGUGUGGGGAGCAAACAGGAUUAGAUACCCUUGUAGUC